RNAcentral lists this ribosomal RNA (429 nucleotides) under grassland soil clone sl2_519. RNAcentral's name for it is "bacterial SSU rRNA". It matches the Rfam family "Bacterial small subunit ribosomal RNA", at positions 50 to 490 of the family's 1533-position model. The record is from RNAcentral.
AACACAUGCAAGUCGAACGGUGACCUCGGAGCUUGCUCCGGCGAUCAGUGGCGAACGGGUGAGUAACACGUGAGUAACCUGCCCCUGGCUCUGGGAUAACCCCGGGAAACCGAGGCUAAUACCGGAUAUGACACAGACAGGCAUCUGUACUGUGUGGAAAGUUUUUUCGGCUAGGGAUGGACUCGCGGCCUAUCAGCUUGUUGGUGAGGUAACGGCCCACCAAGGCGACGACGGGUAGCCGGCCUGAGAGGGCGACCGGCCACACUGGGACUGAGACACGGCCCAGACUCCUACGGGAGGCAGCAGUGGGGAAUAUUGCGCAAUGGGCGAAAGCCUGACGCAGCGACGCCGCGUGAGGGAUGAAGGCCUUCGGGUUGUAAACCUCUUUCAGCAGGGAAGAAGCGAAAGUGACGGUACCUGCAGAAGAAG